Molecule: ribosomal RNA, 429 nt
Filed under: uncultured bacterium
Lineage: Bacteria
Description: bacterial SSU rRNA
Rfam family: Bacterial small subunit ribosomal RNA
Source: RNAcentral
UGGGGAAUUUUGGACAAUGGGGGCAACCCUGAUCCAGCAACGCCGCGUGAAUGAAGAAGGCCCUUGGGUUGUAAAGUUCUUUUAUAACUGAGAAGAAGUCCUGGUUUAAGAGAUGAGGAUGGAGAUAGUAAGUUAUGAAUAAGCACCGGCUAACUACGUGCCAGCAGCCGCGGUAAUACGUAGGGUGCGAGCGUUAAUCGGAAUUAUUGGGCGUAAAGGGUGAGUAGGCGGUUCGGUAAGUUAAUAGUGAAAGCAUUGGGCUCAACCUGAUAAGUGCUAUUAAUACUGCUGAACUAGAGUUAGUUAGAGGAUUGUGGAAUUCCAAGUGUAGUAGUGAAAUGCGUAGAUAUUUGGAGGAACCUUAAUGGCGAAGGCAGCAAUCUGGGAUGAGACUGACGCUGAAUCACGAAAGCGUGGGGAGCAAACAGG